This 492-nucleotide ribosomal RNA is filed under the name uncultured bacterium. Its description in RNAcentral is "partial 16S ribosomal RNA". It matches the Rfam family "Bacterial small subunit ribosomal RNA", at positions 29 to 507 of the family's 1533-position model. The record is from RNAcentral.
AGUGAACGCUGGCGGUAGGCCUAACACAUGCAAGUCGAACGGCAGCACAGUAAGAGCUUGCUCUUACGGGUGGCGAGUGGCGGACGGGUGAGGAAUACAUCGGAAUCUACUUUUUCGUGGGGGAUAACGUAGGGAAACUUACGCUAAUACCGCAUACGACCUACGGGUGAAAGCAGGGGAUCUUCGGACCUUGCGCGAUUGAAUGAGCCGAUGUCGGAUUAGCUAGUUGGCGGGGUAAAGGCCCACCAAGGCGACGAUCCGUAGCUGGUCUGAGAGGAUGAUCAGCCACACUGGAACUGAGACACGGUCCAGACUCCUACGGGAGGCAGCAGUGGGGAAUAUUGGACAAUGGGCGCAAGCCUGAUCCAGCCAUACCGCGUGGGUGAAGAAGGCCUUCGGGUUGUAAAGCCCUUUUGUCGGGAAAGAAAAGCAGCAGGUUAAUACCCCGCUGUCCUGACGGUACCCAAAGAAUAAGCACCGGCUAACCUCGUG